AACGUAGGAGACGAGCGUUAUCCGGAUUUACUGGGCGUAAAGCGCGUGUAGGAGGCAGCACAAGUUGGAUGUAAAAUCUCCCGGCUUAACUGGGAGGCGUCGUUCAAAACUGUGAAGCUAGAGUAGUGGAGAGGUAAUCGGAACUCCGGGAGUAGCGGUGAAAUGAGUAGAUAUCCGGAAGAACACCAGAGGCGAAAGCGGAUUACUGGCCAUCAACUGACACUAAGACGCGGAAGCCAGGGUAGCAAAC
RNAcentral lists this ribosomal RNA (250 nucleotides) under uncultured prokaryote. Its description in RNAcentral is "partial 16S ribosomal RNA". It matches the Rfam family "Bacterial small subunit ribosomal RNA", at positions 524 to 773 of the family's 1533-position model. The record is from RNAcentral.